GACGAACGCUGGCGGCGUGCUUAACACAUGCAAGUCGAACGGAAAGGCCCUGCUUGCAGGGUACUCGAGUGGCGAACGGGUGAGUAACACGUGGGUGAUCUGCCCUGCACUUCGGGAUAAGCUUGGGAAACUGGGUCUAAUACCGGAUAGGAGCCAUCUUUAGUGUGGUGGUUGGAAAGUUUUUUCGGUGUAGGAUGAGCUCGCGGCCUAUCAGCUUGUUGGUGGGGUAAUGGCCUACCAAGGCGGCGACGGGUAGCCGGCCUGAGAGGGUGUACGGCCACAUUGGGACUGAGAUACGGCCCAGACUCCUACGGGAGGCAGCAGUGGGGAAUAUUGCACAAUGGGCGCAAGCCUGAUGCAGCGACGCCGCUUGGGGGAUGAAGGCCUUCGGGUUGUAAACUCCUUUCGCUAGGGACGAAGCUUUUUGUGACGGUACCUAGAUAAGAAGCACCGGCUAACUACGUG
This 465-nucleotide ribosomal RNA is filed under the name uncultured bacterium. RNAcentral's name for it is "partial 16S ribosomal RNA". It matches the Rfam family "Bacterial small subunit ribosomal RNA", at positions 28 to 507 of the family's 1533-position model. The record is from RNAcentral.